RNAcentral lists this ribosomal RNA (253 nucleotides) under uncultured bacterium. Its description in RNAcentral is "partial 16S ribosomal RNA". It matches the Rfam family "Bacterial small subunit ribosomal RNA", at positions 524 to 776 of the family's 1533-position model. The record is from RNAcentral.
UACGGGGGGAGCAAGCGUUGUUCGGAAUCACUGGGCGUAAAGGGAGUCUAGGCGGUUUGGUAAGUGGGAUGUGAAAUCCCCGGGCUCACCCCGGGACCUGCAUCCCAAACUGCUGAGCUUGAGUACAGGAGAGGGUGGGGGAAUUCCAGGUGUAGCGGUGAAAUGCGUAGAUAUCUGGAGGAACACCGGUGGCGAAGGCGCCCACCUGGCCUGCUACUGACGCUGAGGUGCGAAAGCGUGGGGAGCAAACAGG